AGCCAGGGGCGGCCUGGGGCUCUAGGAGCCCACAGGCACCGCGAUGCCCCGGGGGCCUAGGAGCUCGGCCAGGCGCCUUGGUGACCCAGGUUCCCCCCGGGGUUACUGGCGCCGCCACGUGCCGGAUGUGAUUUCAUUGCUGGAACAGAUCGACACUUCUGCUGGGACCUGGUCUCUGCCUGUCAGCAUUUAGUCUGGCACUGCUCUCCUGGUCUCAAGUUGGCUGGCCCACACUGCAGAUUUUAAACUCCUCAGAAUCCAUA
Hyaena hyaena (striped hyena) is the source of this 263-nucleotide long non-coding RNA. RefSeq lists it as uncharacterized. Lineage: Eukaryota; Metazoa; Chordata; Mammalia; Carnivora; Hyaenidae. The transcript has 3 exons. The record is from RefSeq and is a predicted model, not a curated record.